This is a long non-coding RNA of Chelonia mydas (Green sea turtle), 763 nucleotides long. RefSeq lists it as uncharacterized. NCBI's taxonomy places the organism in Eukaryota, Metazoa, Chordata, Testudines, Cheloniidae. The record is from RefSeq and is a predicted model, not a curated record. The transcript is spliced from 3 exons.
AUAGAAACGGGCUCUGGAUGUGCAUUAAAGCCUCUCACCGCAGGGCGUUGUUUUUGUUUCCCUAAGUCAAUUGUGUGCCAGCAAAAGACGGACUGGAUCGACAGCUCUGGAGACAGAGGGCCCAUCUUUAUUCCACCAAACAGCCACCCAAACUGGGCACAGGAUUCCAGAAGCAGUUGCACCAGUGCCAAAUUCAGAGAUUGCUCAGUGACCUGUCCUCUUCAUUAUUUACCACUUGGCCACACCCCAAGACUCCAGUAAAGUCACAAGGCAGUUGUUUUCUUCUAAUACUGAACAAGGAACUUUACUGGAAUAAAGAAAACAAUGGGCUUGUCUUCACUGCAACGGCCAUCUUGAGCAACUCCUCUCCGCUUAGCCUUGCAAAACACUGAAGGUGCCCAGCGGGAAUAGAUUAGUAGUUGGAGACUUGUGCUAACUCCAGCUGUAGCUGCAUCUGUGAUGUUGCACUCUAUAUGAUUUUAUGAAAAUAUGCUAAUGAGUGUGAAUAUAAUGUAACUGGAAUAUGCUUCAUGCAAAAGGUCUCUUGUAAGGUAUAAUUACAAAGUUUAUAAUCUACUGAGUGUGGUCAUCCAUUUUGUAUAAAUGUAUAAUUCUUGUAUCUGAAAAUAGAAAGAUGGAAUAUAACUCUGAGGUCCUAUUGUAAUUAUGCAAAGUGUGGGCCAUUAAUGGUGGUUUGGAAUCUUGAUGUCUCCCAUCAACUAGAACAAUUGGUUGUAAAUGGCUCUGUUUACUUGCAAGCCUU